Long non-coding RNA from Ipomoea nil (Japanese morning glory), 519 nucleotides. RefSeq lists it as uncharacterized. The record is from RefSeq and is a predicted model, not a curated record. The transcript is spliced from 2 exons. Lineage: Eukaryota; Viridiplantae; Streptophyta; Magnoliopsida; Solanales; Convolvulaceae.
ACUUCCUCAUACAACAAAAAGAAGAAAAAAGAAAUGGCUCUUACAAAACUCAACAAAGUGACCUUUGUCGCUCUACUUGUCUGCUUCAUCCUAAUUGCAUCAUAUGAAACGCAAAUGGUUGAAGCAAAGCAUUGUAUGAAAUACAACAGUUGGAGUGGCAGAUGCCCCCCGAUGCGUUGCAGCAGUUGGUGCAAAGGCAUGGGUGGCUCCAAGUGGUAUUGUCAGCACCAAAAGUGUUACUGCCAGUAUCAUUGCGGCAGCUAAAUGAAAAUAUUUAUAUCUUGCACUAUUUUCAUACCACCAAAAUAGUGCAUCAUAUAAUAAAUCUAAAUCUUUUAUAUAGUAAAGAGAAAUAAAUGUUGCUACAUAUAAAUGACUCGAGUCAUUUUAUUACACGGCAACAAUUGUAUGUUGUAACCUAUACGCGCGACACUAGUUGUGUGUAUUUUAAUGUGUUGUAUGCUAAAUACUAUUAUUACUAUACUAUUUGAGUUUUUAGUAUUUACAAAGUUUGAUGUU